CCUACGGGAGGCAGCAGUGAGGAAUAUUGGUCAAUGGACGAGAGUCUGAACCAGCCAAGUAGCGUGAAGGAUGACUGCCCUAUGGGUUGUAAACUUCUUUUAUAUGGGAAUAAAAUGUUCCACGUGUGGGAUUUUGUAUGUACCAUAUGAAAAAGGAUCGGCUAACUCCGUGCCAGCAGCCGCGGUAAUACGGAGGAUGCGAGCGUUAUCCGGAUUUAUUGGGUUUAAAGGGAGCGUAGGUGGAUUGUUAAGUCAGUUGUGAAAGUUUGCGGCUCAACCGUAAAAUUGCAGUUGAAACUGGCAGUCUUGAGUACAGUAGAGGUGGGCGGAAUUCGUGGUGUAGCGGUGAAAUGCUUAGAUAUCACGAAGAACUCCGAUUGCGAAGGCAGUUCACUGGACUGCAACUGACACUGAGGCUCGAAAGUGUGGGUAUCAAACAGGAUUAGAUACCCUAGUAGUC
Molecule: ribosomal RNA, 460 nt
Filed under: uncultured bacterium
Lineage: Bacteria
Description: partial 16S ribosomal RNA
Rfam family: Bacterial small subunit ribosomal RNA
Source: RNAcentral